GAUUAACGCUGGCGGCGUGCCUGACACAUGCAAGUCGAACGAGUUCUAGUUGCCCGCAAGGGUGACUAGCGCUAGUGGCGGACGGGUGAGUAACACGUGGGCAACCUGCCUGAGAGCGCGGAAUAACCCUGCGAAAGCAGAGCUAAUACCGCAUGUGGUUGUUGUUGGCAUCUUCUAACAACUAAAGUCGCAAGACGCUCUCAGAUGGGGCCCGCGGCCUAUUAGCUAGUUGGUGAGGUAACGGCCCACCAAGGCUCUGAUGGGUAGCUGGUCUGAGAGGACGGACAGCCACACUGGGACUGAGACACGGCCCAGACUCCUACGGGAGGCAGCAGUGAGGAAUUUUCCGCAAUGGGCGAAAGCCUGACGGAGCAACGCCGCGUGAGGGAUGAAGUCUCUAGGGAU
This 405-nucleotide ribosomal RNA is filed under the name uncultured bacterium. RNAcentral's name for it is "bacterial SSU rRNA". It matches the Rfam family "Bacterial small subunit ribosomal RNA", at positions 28 to 424 of the family's 1533-position model. The record is from RNAcentral.